UACGUAGGGUGCGAGCGUUAAUCGGAAUUACUGGGCGUAAAGCGUGCGCAGGCGGUUUGUUAAGACAGAUGUGAAAUCCCCGGGCUUAACCUGGGAACUGCCAUUUGUGACUGGCAAGCUAGAGUAUGGCAGAGGGGGGUAGAAUUCCACGUGUAGCAGUGAAAUGCGUAGAGAUGUGGAGGAAUACCGAUGGCGAAGGCAGCCCCCUGGGCCAAUACGUGACGCUCAUGCACGAAAGCGUGGGGAGCAAACAGG
Molecule: ribosomal RNA, 255 nt
Filed under: uncultured bacterium
Lineage: Bacteria
Description: partial 16S ribosomal RNA
Rfam family: Bacterial small subunit ribosomal RNA
Source: RNAcentral